CAGCAGCCGCGGUAAUACGGAGGAUCCGAGCGUUAUCCGGAAUUAUUGGGUUUAAAGGGUGCGUAGGCGGAUAGAUAAGUCAGUGGUGAAAGACGGUGGCUCAACCAUCGCAGUGCCGUUGAUACUGUUUAUCUUGAAUAUGGAUGAGGUAGGCGGAAUGUGGCAAGUAGCGGUGAAAUGCAUAGAUAUGCCACAGAACACCGAUUGCGAAGGCAGCUUACCAAGGCAAAAUUGACGCUGAGGCACGAAAGCGUGGGGAUCGAACAGGAUUAGAUACCCCAGUAGUCCCUGUCUCUUAUAA
Molecule: ribosomal RNA, 301 nt
Filed under: uncultured bacterium
Lineage: Bacteria
Description: partial 16S ribosomal RNA
Rfam family: Bacterial small subunit ribosomal RNA
Source: RNAcentral